AACGAACGCUGGCGGCAUGCCUAACACAUGCAAGUCGAACGAGACCUUCGGGUCUAGUGGCGCACGGGUGCGUAACGCGUGGGAACCUGCCCUUAGGUUCGGAAUAACUCCCCGAAAGGGGUGCUAAUACCGGAUAAUGUCUUCGGACCAAAGAUUUAUCGCCUUUGGAUGGGCCCGCGUUGGAUUAGCUAGUUGGUAGGGUAAAAGCCUACCAAGGCGACGAUCCAUAGCUGGUCUGAGAGGAGGAUCAGCCACACUGGGACUGAGACACGGCCCAGACUCCUACGGGAGGCAGCAGUGGGGAAUAUUGGACAAUGGGCGAAAGCCUGAUCCAGCAAUGCCGCGUGAGUGAUGAAGGCCUUAGGGUUGUAAAGCUCUUUUACCCGGGAUGAUAAGGACAGUACCGGGAGAAUAAGCUCCGGCUAACUCCG
RNAcentral lists this ribosomal RNA (431 nucleotides) under uncultured bacterium. RNAcentral describes it as "partial 16S ribosomal RNA". It matches the Rfam family "Bacterial small subunit ribosomal RNA", at positions 29 to 505 of the family's 1533-position model. The record is from RNAcentral.